UGGGGAAUCUUGCACAAUGGGCGAAAGCCUGAUGCAGCGACGCCGCGUGCGGGACGAAGGCCUUCGGGUUGUAAACCGCUUUCAGCAGGGACGAGGCGAAAGUGACGGUACCUGCAGAAGAAGCCCCGGCUAACUACGUGCCAGCAGCCGCGGUAAUACGUAGGGGGCAAGCGUUAUCCGGAUUCAUUGGGCGUAAAGCGCUCGUAGGCGGUCUGUUAGGUCGGGAGUUAAAUCCGGAGGCUCAACCUCCGUUCGCUCCCGAUACCGGCAGACUUGAGUUUGGUAGGGGAAGGUGGAAUUCCUAGUGUAGCGGUGGAAUGCGCAGAUAUUAGGAAGAACACCAGUGGUGAAGGCGGCCUUCUGGGCCAUAACUGACGCUGAGGAGCGAAAGCUAGGGGAGCAAACAGGAUUAGAUACCCUGGUAGUCCUAGCUGUAAACGAUGGACACUAGGUGUGGGAGAAUACGUCUUCCGUGCCGCAGCUAACGCAUUAAGUGUCCCGCCUGGGGAGUACGGCCGCAAGGCUA
This 526-nucleotide ribosomal RNA is filed under the name uncultured bacterium. RNAcentral describes it as "bacterial SSU rRNA". It matches the Rfam family "Bacterial small subunit ribosomal RNA", at positions 355 to 896 of the family's 1533-position model. The record is from RNAcentral.